Molecule: ribosomal RNA, 492 nt
Filed under: uncultured bacterium
Lineage: Bacteria
Description: partial 16S ribosomal RNA
Rfam family: Bacterial small subunit ribosomal RNA
Source: RNAcentral
AGUGAACGCUGGCGGUAUGCCUAACACAUGCAAGUCGAACGGCAGCACAGUAAGAUCUCGCUCUUACGGUUGGCGACUGGCGGACGGGUGACGCAUACAUCGCAUUCUUCUUUUUCGUGGGUGACUUCGUAGGGCAACUGACGCUAAUACCUCAUAUGUUCUACCGCAUAAUUCAGUAGUUCUUCGCACUUUUGCCGUUUGUUUUAGCCGAUGUCGGAUUAGCUAGUUGGCGAGGUAAAGGCCCACCAAGGCGACGAUCCGUAGCUGAUCUGAGAGGAUGAUCGGCCACACUGGAACUGAGACACGGUCCAGACUCCUACGGGAGGCAGCAGUGGGGAAUAUUGGGCAAUGGGCGAAAGCCUGACGGAGCAAUGCCGCGUGAUUUAAGAAGGUCUUCGGGUUGUAAAGCUCUGUUGUUGGGAAAGAACAACAGCGGAUGAAACUAUGCAUGUUCUGACGGUACCCAAAGAGUAAGCAACGGCUAACUUCGUG